CCUACGGGCGGCAGCAGUGGGGAAUAUUGGACAAUGGGCGAAAGCCUGAUCCAGCCAUGCCGCGUGUAUGAAGAAGGCCUUCGGGUUGUAAAGCACUUUCAGUGGGGAAGAAAGCCUUGGGGCUAAUACCCUCGAGGAAGGACAUCACCCACAGAAGAAGCACCGGCUAACUCCGUGCCAGCAGCCGCGGUAAUACGGAGGGUGCGAGCGUUAAUCGGAAUUACUGGGCGUAAAGCGCGCGUAGGCGGUCUGAUAAGCCGGUUGUGAAAGCCCCGGGCUCAACCUGGGAACGGCAUCCGGAACUGUCAGGCUAGAGUGCAGGAGAGGAAGGUAGAAUUCCCGGUGUAGCGGUGAAAUGCGUAGAGAUCGGGAGGAAUACCAGUGGCGAAGGCGGCCUUCUGGACUGACACUGACGCUGAGGUGCGAAAGCGUGGGUAGCAAACAGGAUUAGAUACCCUUGUAGUC
Molecule: ribosomal RNA, 465 nt
Filed under: Vreelandella stevensii
Lineage: Bacteria; Pseudomonadati; Pseudomonadota; Gammaproteobacteria; Oceanospirillales; Halomonadaceae
Description: partial 16S ribosomal RNA
Rfam family: Bacterial small subunit ribosomal RNA
Source: RNAcentral